This 487-nucleotide ribosomal RNA is filed under the name uncultured soil bacterium. RNAcentral's name for it is "bacterial SSU rRNA". It matches the Rfam family "Bacterial small subunit ribosomal RNA", at positions 26 to 518 of the family's 1533-position model. The record is from RNAcentral.
AGAUUGAACGCUGGCGGCAUGCCUUACACAUGCAAGUCGAACGGUAACGCGGGGCAACCUGGCGACGAGUGGCGAACGGGUGAGUAACGCCUCGGAACGUGCCCAGUAGUGGGGGAUAGCUCGGCGAAAGCCGGAUUAAUACCGCAUACGACCUAAGGGUGAAAGCGGGGGACCGUAAGGCCUCGCGCUAUUGGAGCGGCCGAUGUCAGAUUAGGUUGUUGGUGGGGUAAAAGCCUACCAAGCCGACGAUCUCUAGCUGGUCUGAGAGGACGACCAGCCACACUGGGACUGAGACACGGCCCAGACUCCUACGGGAGGCAGCAGUGGGGAAUUUGGACAAUGGGGGCAACCUGAUCCAGCCAUGCCGCGUGCGGGAAGAAGGCCUUCGGUGUAACGCUUUGUCAGGGAAGAAACGCUCCAGGAUAAUACCGUUGGGUAAUGACGGUACCUGAAGAAUAAGCACCGGCUAACUACGUGCAGCAGCCGC